GGCCCACGGCGACAGGCGUUACAAAAGCGCAAAGGAGUCGGCACGGCUCGCUCCGAAAUCUGUUUCUGAAAGAAGCAUAUGCCACCAGUGACUGAAGCUUUGGGCUCCAGCAGAACAAAAUACCGAAGGACAUUUGGAUCAUUUCUGCCCAUGCCGAAGGAAGCCGUAGGCUAGGGUAUGAACGAUUAUCUUUUGAGACUCGUUUCACUGUAUGUCACCAGGCACAAUUUUAUGACUAAAGAAACCAAACCUUCAGGCAGAAGGUCCAGAAGAGAUACAGUCAAAAACCCUGGAAGCUCCCUGUCCGCACUGCCAUCAAGACAUACCAAAUGAAGCUUUUAGGCCUUCAGUCUCCCCCAGCUGCUUAGUCAUGGCAGAUUCUAUGAGGUAAAUUGCUGAAUUCAGGAAGACAAUAUAAAGGCUUACAUGUACAAAUUCAAUUUUAAACCUAAGCCCUUUGCACUUCAAGCUCAACUGAAAUUCUGUACUGGUAGGGUGUUCCAAUCCUGAUGGACAGAACACAUCGUUCUGAAGUGCAGCUUUGCUGGCGAGUUUCCAGAGAUGUUUCUUGCAGUCAUCCUCGGCUGAAUAAAAGAUGAGGAAAGGCCAUAAGGGUGACAACCAAUACAAGUGGUAAGCGCAACAAAUUCUUAUGCUGCAGGCCCAGCUACUGAAUAAGUCAUACAUACCGUAUAUUUCAGAACAGUAGAAGAUCCUUCAGUUUAUGAAGCACUGGAAACAUGACGAAUAUAUACAAGGACCUGUAAGGAAUUCACUAGGCUACUUCCUGUUCUCCACCUGUCCUCCUACCUACUUGCAUCCACACAGUCUGCUGUAAUUAAGUAACCGUCUUGCUUGUAUCAGUGUUAAUCAAUAGAAAAAAAACUCAUGUGAAAACUUUAGUUGGGCAAGGAAGGGAAACUCUACAGCAAAUCUGUGGCGAUUCUGAAGCAAAAAGCAAUAUUAUUAUUAUUAUUGUGUAAUUAUGUUAGGUAGUUACAGCAAUGGCUUACUGUGACUUACCAUCAUA
This is a non-coding RNA of Phalacrocorax carbo (great cormorant), 1030 nucleotides long. NCBI's taxonomy places the organism in Eukaryota, Metazoa, Chordata, Aves, Suliformes, Phalacrocoracidae. The record is from RefSeq and is a predicted model, not a curated record.